This 450-nucleotide ribosomal RNA is filed under the name uncultured Glomeromycotina. RNAcentral's name for it is "SSU rRNA". It matches the Rfam family "Eukaryotic small subunit ribosomal RNA", at positions 569 to 1016 of the family's 1831-position model. Lineage: Eukaryota; Fungi; Glomeromycota. The record is from RNAcentral.
AGCAGCCGCGGUAAUUCCAGCUCCAAUAGCGUAUAUUAAAGUUGUUGCAGUUAAAAAGCUCGUAGUUGAAUUUCGGGAUUGACGUGAUGGUCAUGCCUUAAGGGGUAUGAACUGUUACAGUUGAUUUCUCACCUUCUGGAGAAACUUGAUGUCCUUUAUUGGGUGUCUUGCGGAUCCAGGACCUUUACCUUGAAAAAAUUAGAGUGUUUAAAGCAGGCAUUUUUGCUCGAAUACAUUAGCAUGGAAUAAUAGAAUAGGACGGCAUGGUUCUAUUUUGUUGGUUUCUAGGAUCACCGUAAUGAUUAAUAGGGAUAGUUGGGGGCAUUAGUAUUCAAUUGUCAGAGGUGAAAUUCUUGGAUUUAUUGAAGACUAACUACUGCGAAAGCAUUUGCCAAGGAUGUUUUCAUUAAUCAAGAACGAAAGUUAGGGGAUCGAAGACGAUCAGAUACC